This 407-nucleotide ribosomal RNA is filed under the name uncultured rumen bacterium. RNAcentral's name for it is "bacterial SSU rRNA". It matches the Rfam family "Bacterial small subunit ribosomal RNA", at positions 354 to 776 of the family's 1533-position model. The record is from RNAcentral.
GUGGGGAAUAUUGGGCAAUGGGGGCAACCCUGACCCAGCGACGCCGCGUGAGGGAAGACAGCCUUCGGGUUGUAAACCUCUGUUGCAGGGGAAGAAGGACGUGACGGUACCCUGCGAGGAAGCUCCGGCUAACUACGUGCCAGCAGCCGCGGUAAUACGUAGGGAGCGAGCGUUGUCCGGAAUUACUGGGCGUAAAGGGCGCGAAGGCGGUUUUGCAAGUCAACUGUCAAAUCGCGGGGCUUAACCCCGCUCCGCAGUUGAAACUGUAAGACUGGAGGCACAGAGAGGCAGACAGAAUUCCUGGUGUAGCGGUGAAAUGCGUAGAUAUCAGGAAGAAUACCAGUGGCGAAGGCGGUCUGCUGGCUGUGGACUGACGCUCAAGCGCGAAAGCCAGGGGAGCAAACGGG